UUGAACGCUGGCGGCAUGCCUUACACAUGCAAGUCGAACGGGCUUUAGGGGCUUGCUCCUAAAGUUAGUGGCGAACGGGUGAGUAAAGUAUCGGAACGUACCAUUCAGUGGGGGAUAACGUAGCGAAAGUUACGCUAAUACCGCAUAUUCUGUGAGCAGGAAAGCAGGGGAUCGCAAGACCUUGCGCUGAUUGAGCGGCCGAUAUCAGAUUAGCUAGUUGGCGGGGUAAUAGCCCACCAAGGCGACGAUCUGUAGCGGGUCUGAGAGGAUGAUCCGCCACACUGGGACUGAGACACGGCCCAGACUCCUACGGGAGGCAGCAGUGGGGAAUUUUGGACAAUGGGCGCAAGCCUGAUCCAGCCAUGCCGCGUGAGUGAAGAAGGCCUUCGGGUUGUAAAGCUCUUUCGCGAGGGAAGAAAACGCACUCUCUAAUACAGGGUGUGGAUGACGGUACCUUGAUAAGAAGCACCGGCUAACUACGU
This 482-nucleotide ribosomal RNA is filed under the name uncultured bacterium. RNAcentral's name for it is "bacterial SSU rRNA". It matches the Rfam family "Bacterial small subunit ribosomal RNA", at positions 30 to 506 of the family's 1533-position model. The record is from RNAcentral.